UAAAAAUCAAGAUUUUUGUCGGAUGUGUAUUUUAAUUGGUAUUCCGGAUCCCGAUAAAUUAACACCAUGUUAAAAUUGACAUAUUUUUAUCGGAUCCGUUUAAAUUUUCGGAAGACUUCGUUAAUUUGGUUUAAACGAACUACCCAGUGUGUUUCGUGGCCUAUUUUAGGUUAAAGAUGCCUUGACUUUACUAUCAUAAAUUCAAAUUUUGUUGGAAUUGAGCUUCUUAAACAUAAAAUCUGGUAUAGAUAAAUUAUAAUAUAAAAUUAAGAAGCAGACGGAGACGGACCGAGACCAAGUGGUACGUGCUCAACGGUGAUCACAAUUUGUGAGGUUAGGAGUGCAAUUAGUGAAUCAAAACAUUCAAAACAAAUCCAAGUUUAUUCUGGAUUUUUGGAUAAUUUAUAAUUUGGCAUCAAUUACCAUAUUUAACUACAGGAAGCCACUUAUAAGAAUAUAAGAAAUUAACUCCACGGUUAUGAAAUUUUAUCAUCCGAUUUGAUGUUCAUAUUGAACAACACAUAAUAGUUAUAUAUGUGAUUGCUUUUCUGAAAUUAGCUGAAAAUGAUACGUUUCCAAAAAAAUCCAGUGUCUUGAGGAAGAAGUGUUACUUUUUAUUAAAAACGCACCAAAUGAUAACUUUUUAUUACUUGCAUAAAGUUGCUUCAGUAAUGAGUGCUUUUUGUGGUUUAAUGCGGGAGGAACUGGCCAAGCUGCGCAUCAACAACAUUGAAGACAGAUGAUUUGUUUCAGUGGUCGAAAUAGCAGACUGGUGCCUCGAAAAGCUUCACAAUCAUAAAAGAGGACAGUAUAGGAGCGUCAAAUUUAGUUAAGUAAUUGAAAAUUGUAUUUUUUACUUGGGAAAUGAUAAUAGAAAUUAUUUUCGUUAUAUUUUUAAGUAGGUAUGAAAUGUUUGUAAAUUGUUAAUUAAAAUAAUUUUUUUUUCCAAA
Zophobas morio is the source of this 950-nucleotide long non-coding RNA. RefSeq lists it as uncharacterized. NCBI's taxonomy places the organism in Eukaryota, Metazoa, Arthropoda, Insecta, Coleoptera, Tenebrionidae. The record is from RefSeq and is a predicted model, not a curated record. The transcript has 2 exons.